GAUGAACGCUGGCGGCGUGCCUAAUACAUGCAAGUCGAGCGAACGGACGAGAAGCUUGCUUCUCUGAUGUUAGCGGCGGACGGGUGAGUAACACGUGGAUAACCUACCUAUAAGACUGGGAUAACUUCGGGAAACCGGAGCUAAUACCGGAUAAUAUUUUGAACCGCAUGGUUCAAAAGUGAAAGACGGUCUUGCUGUCACUUAUAGAUGGAUCCGCGCUGCAUUAGCUAGUUGGUAAGGUAACGGCUUACCAAGGCAACGAUGCAUAGCCGACCUGAGAGGGUGACCGGCACCCCGUGACCGUGACCCCGGCCCGACCCCCAACGGGGGGCGGCGGGGGGAAAUUUUCCGAAAGGGGGAAAACCCCAACGGACAACCCCCCGGGGGGUAAUAAGGGCUUUCGGGUCUAAAAACUUUGUUUUUGGGAAAAAACAUAUUGGAAGGUACCGGGCCACAUCUUAACGGUCCCUAAUCAAAAGCCCCCGGCUAACUUCGU
Molecule: ribosomal RNA, 496 nt
Filed under: uncultured bacterium
Lineage: Bacteria
Description: partial 16S ribosomal RNA
Rfam family: Bacterial small subunit ribosomal RNA
Source: RNAcentral